Molecule: long non-coding RNA, 1087 nt
Filed under: Piliocolobus tephrosceles (Ugandan red Colobus)
Lineage: Eukaryota; Metazoa; Chordata; Mammalia; Primates; Cercopithecidae
Description: lncRNA (ENSPTEG00000016346.1)
Source: RNAcentral
UAUUUUAUUUUUUUUUAAAUAGUGUUAUUAGUAUACGUUAAAAAAAUGUUAGAAGGGUAUGUAAAUUUUUUGAACAAAGAGAGUAAUCAUAAGACUAGCAACUGUAGUAGCAACAACUGUAGUAGCAACAACUGUAGUAGUAACAACUGUAGUAGUAACAAUAGUAAUAUCAACAAUAGUAACAGUAACAACGGUAAAAACAAAGAUGAUAAGAGUGGUAAGAGUGACGGAAAUAAGAAUAACGCAACAAACUUAAAUACAUAUAGAAAAAUAUGUGACUUUAUUUUAAUAGAUAAGAAUGUAAAUAAAAAACAAAUCGAUGGCUAUCAUACAAAAUUAAUAAAAUUCUCAAAAAAUGAAAAAGAAGAACAGGCUACUCGUAACAUUUGCGAUGUCGUGUUUUUUGGAAAUAACAACAGCAGCAACAGUAAUAACGGCAAUAACAGAAACAACAAUAAUAACUCUAAUGCAUACAUGCAAACAGGCACACAUACAGACACACAUACAGGCACACAUACAGACACACAUACAGACACACAUACGAAUAUUUCCAACAUACACACUAUUAAAAAGUAUUAUAAUUAUGAAUCCUCGGACCAAAGCAACUAUUUUGAUAGUAAAGAAAAAAUAAAAAAGUAUGUUUUAGAAAAGAAUUAUAAAACUGACAUAAAACUAAAAGAUAUUUUAUACGUAUAUAAUGGAAAUGGUAGUAGAAGUAGUAGUGGUAGUGGUGGUGGUAGCGGUGGUGGUGGUAGUGGUGGUGGUGGUAGUGGUGGUAGUGGUAAUAAUGAUGUUCAUAACCAUGGAAAUAUUGACCAUGAAAAUUAUGGCAGUAGUAAUAAUAAUAAUAAUAAUAAUAAUAAUGUCAUAGCAAAUAUAAAAAAAGAAUUGAGAAAAACAUCUUUAUGCAAGUAUUGGUUAAAAGGAGUAUGCGCAAACAUAGAAUGCAAUUUUGCUCAUGGUAACGACGAGCUAAAAUAUACAGCUGGAGUUUAUAAAACCACUAUCUGUAAACAUUGGAAACAGAAUGGAACUUGUUCGAGUGGUAUUAGUUGUAGACAUGCACAUGGAGAAAGUGAAUUAAGAC